GUCGGUGGCGGAGCUGCUGAGCGCGAUAGUAGCAGCUCCGGCGGCAGCAACAUUGACUACGAGGAAUGGCGGCGGCUGCCGCAGGACCUGCAGCAUCCCAGAGGUUUUUCCAGAGCUUCUCAGAUGCUCUAAUCGACCAGGACCCCCAGGCGGCGUUAGAGGUGCAGAUUUUAAUUUCAGUGACUGAAUUAAAAGGUGUCAAGAAGCUCAGAAUGGUAUGGAAAAUCGAGGACCAGGGAGAGUACCUUGCCAGCAAUUUUGUAGUUAUGAUUUUCGAUGAAGAGCUGCACAGUAAUAGGGGAAAUUCUGAAUGGUAUUCAAGUCCUCCAGCCAGCAGCAGCAGGAUGUGGUUUUCAAUGUGCACUAUGCAAGUAGCGCUUCAGAUGGAGCUUAUUCUUAUUUUUAAUUUAUUUUUUAUUUUAUUAAUUCAUUUGUUUUUAUAUAUUUUAAGAUUUAUUGACAUAAAAAUUAUAUAUGGUGUACAAUUUGAUGGUUGAUAUGCACAUGCGUUGUGAAAUG
Long non-coding RNA from Homo sapiens (human), 519 nucleotides. Ensembl annotates it as SUGT1 pseudogene 3. Its record names the gene SUGT1P3. The record is from Ensembl. Lineage: Eukaryota; Metazoa; Chordata; Mammalia; Primates; Hominidae.